UGUCUUUGUGGUGAAUUUAUCACGCUACCUUUUCGAGGUAGAAUAGAAAAUAAUUUCCUUAGAU
RNAcentral lists this transfer RNA (64 nucleotides) under Pleurobranchaea novaezealandiae. RNAcentral's name for it is "tRNA-Glu". Lineage: Eukaryota; Metazoa; Mollusca; Gastropoda; Pleurobranchida; Pleurobranchidae. The record is from RNAcentral.